UGAUCACCCCAACACCGAACCGCCUCCUUUGUCCUCUCUCGAAAGCAAUCUUUGUUAUGGAUUGAUGAAGGCAUGAGUUGAAGAAAUCCUUGUUGUCCCAACUGCUCAACAGUGCUUCCAUGGAUGGCAAAAGCUCAUCUGAGUUGAGCCUUCCUGGUUUUGGAUUAUUGAGUAUUUGGCAAAAUUCGAGCAAGUUAAGCCAUCCCUCUUGCAUGGUAUCAUUAAAGUGGCUCCAGAGUUACCUGCUCACUUGGGAAAAAAUAUGGAGGAAGUUGUUUCUUUGAGAUGCUUGGAGGAGUUAUGUGGCCCUAGAAAUGGAAGCAUGAACAGUACUUGGUCCUGAU
This is a long non-coding RNA of Eucalyptus grandis, 344 nucleotides long. RefSeq lists it as uncharacterized. The transcript has 3 exons. The record is from RefSeq and is a predicted model, not a curated record. Lineage: Eukaryota; Viridiplantae; Streptophyta; Magnoliopsida; Myrtales; Myrtaceae.